RNAcentral lists this ribosomal RNA (253 nucleotides) under uncultured bacterium. RNAcentral describes it as "partial 16S ribosomal RNA". It matches the Rfam family "Bacterial small subunit ribosomal RNA", at positions 524 to 776 of the family's 1533-position model. The record is from RNAcentral.
UACGAGGGGGGCUAGUGUUGUUCGGAAUCACUGGGCGUAAAGGGCGCGUAGGCGGGUGGCUAAGUUGGGGGUUUAAUUCCGGGGCCCAACCCCGGGCGUGCACUCAAAACUGGGUUUCUUGAAUAGGGGAGAGGUCGGUGGAAUUGGAGGUGUAGCGGUGGAAUGCGUAGAGAUCUCCAAGAACACCCGUUGCGAAGGCGGCCGACUGGACCCAUAUUGACGCUGAGGCUCGAAAGCAUGGGGAGCAAACAGG